RNAcentral lists this ribosomal RNA (217 nucleotides) under uncultured prokaryote. RNAcentral's name for it is "partial 16S ribosomal RNA". It matches the Rfam family "Bacterial small subunit ribosomal RNA", at positions 524 to 740 of the family's 1533-position model. The record is from RNAcentral.
GACGAACCGUGCGAACGUUGUUCGGAAUCACUGGGCUUAAAGGGCGCGUAGGCGGGCUACCAAGUCUGUGGUGAAAUCCUCCAGCUUAACUGGAGAACGGCCGUGGAUACUGGUGGUCUCGAGGGAGAUAGGGGCAAGCGGAACUGUGCGUGGAGCGGUGAAAUGCGUUGAUAUGCACAGGAACUCCGGUGGCGAAGGCGGCUUGCUGGAUCUCUUC